GACGGAGGGUGCAACCGUUGUUCGGAAUUACUGGGCGUAAAGCGCGUGUAGGCGGCUUGCUAAGUCUGAUGUGAAAGCCCGGGGCUCACCCCCGGAAGUGCAUUGGACACUGGCGAGCUCGAGUCCCGGAGAGGAGGGUGGAAUUCCUGGUGUAGCGGUGAAAUGCGUAGAUAUCAGGAGGAACACCGGUGGCGAAGGCGGCCCUCUGGACGGUGGCUGACGCUGAGACGCGAAAGCGUGGGGAGCAAACAGG
This 253-nucleotide ribosomal RNA is filed under the name uncultured bacterium. RNAcentral's name for it is "partial 16S ribosomal RNA". It matches the Rfam family "Bacterial small subunit ribosomal RNA", at positions 524 to 776 of the family's 1533-position model. The record is from RNAcentral.